Molecule: ribosomal RNA, 495 nt
Filed under: uncultured Glomus
Lineage: Eukaryota; Fungi; Glomeromycota; Glomeromycetes; Glomerales; Glomeraceae
Description: SSU rRNA
Rfam family: Eukaryotic small subunit ribosomal RNA
Source: RNAcentral
AGCAGCCGCGGUAAUUCCAGCUCCAAUAGCGUAUAUUAAAGUUGUUGCAGUUAAAAGCUCGUAGUUGAAUUUCGGGACUAAUAUGUCGGUCGUACUUUGUACGUACUAGCAUUAUUGGUUUCUCCCUUCUGACGAACCACGAUGUCAUUAAUUUGGUGUCGUGGGAAAUCAGGACUGUUACUUUGAAAAAUUAGAGUGUUUAAAGCAAGCUAACGCUUGAAUACAUUAGCAUGGAAUAAUGAAAUAGGACGUUCGAUCCUAUUUUGUUGGUUUCUAGGAUUGACGUAAUGAUUAAUAGGGAUAGUUGGGGCAUUAGUAUUCAAUUGUCAGAGGUGAAAUUCUUGGAUUUAUUGAAGACUAACUACUGCGAAAGCAUUUGCCAAGGAUGUUUUCAUUAAUCAAGAACGAAAGUUAGGGAUCGAAGACGAUCAGAUACCGUCGUAGUCUUAACCAUAAACUAUGCGACUAGGGAUCGGAUGAUGUUAAUUUAUAAUG